Molecule: ribosomal RNA, 222 nt
Filed under: uncultured Pseudomonas sp.
Lineage: Bacteria; Pseudomonadati; Pseudomonadota; Gammaproteobacteria; Pseudomonadales; Pseudomonadaceae
Description: partial 16S ribosomal RNA
Rfam family: Bacterial small subunit ribosomal RNA
Source: RNAcentral
UGACCUGUUACCCGCUUUCGGAUCGGUCUAGGACGGCGCACUCACUUCUUUCACGGGAGGCAGCAGUGGGGAAUAUUGGACAAUGGGUGAAAGCCUGAUCCAGCCAUUCCGCGUGCGUGAAGAAGGUCUUCGGAUUGUAAAGCUCUUUAAGUUGGGAGGAAGGGCAGUAAGUUUAAUACCUGGGGAUCAUGACGGUACGUCAGAAUAAGCCCCGGUGCUGCG